UGCUAAUACCGGAUAACAAACAGAUGAUGCCUAUCAACUGUUUAAAAGAUGGUUCUGCUAUCACUCUUGGAUGGACCUGCGGUGCAUUAGCUAGUUGGUAGGGUAACGGCCUACCAAGGCGAUGAUGCAUAGCCGAGUUGAGAGACUGAUCGGCCACAUUGGGACUGAGACACGGCCCAAACUCCUACGGGAGGCAGCAGUC
RNAcentral lists this ribosomal RNA (202 nucleotides) under uncultured Lactobacillus sp. RNAcentral describes it as "partial 16S ribosomal RNA". It matches the Rfam family "Bacterial small subunit ribosomal RNA", at positions 161 to 355 of the family's 1533-position model. The record is from RNAcentral. Lineage: Bacteria; Bacillati; Bacillota; Bacilli; Lactobacillales; Lactobacillaceae.